CGCCCCAUGGCACGGAGGACACGUGACGGGGCGGGGCCUCUCCGCCCAACCGGCUACCGGCCCUUUCCAGGGCUUUAAAGGGACCGCCGCAGAUCCUGAAAUGGAUGCUCCUAAAAUGGGAGAGGGCACCACACCACAGUGAGAUGCCAAAGAGAUUGGGCCUGACCUGAAAGAUAGUGAGGUUCCCCUGGACUUGAUGCCCUGCCUGUCACCAUUGGUCUAGAAUAACAGGAGCUAAGUACUGGAGACCAUAUCUGGGAGCCAUACCGAAUCUUCACCCCUUUACAUUGUCUGCACACGGAUACAGAGUCACAGAUGAAAUCCAUUCCACAAGCAGAUUGUUAAACAUGUGUUUUCGAUGGUUUCCUACUGUAGCCAGCAAUGAAUAUGGAGCUGUUUAUCACAAAGAUUUACCCUGAAGCAUUUUACGGAUACUGACUAUCCUAAUACUCCAAAGUUGUAACAUUGUCUCCUGUUACACAGCUACAAAGUUAAUAAAUGAUUCAAACCCUG
This is a long non-coding RNA of Myodes glareolus (Bank vole), 513 nucleotides long. RefSeq lists it as uncharacterized. The record is from RefSeq and is a predicted model, not a curated record. NCBI's taxonomy places the organism in Eukaryota, Metazoa, Chordata, Mammalia, Rodentia, Cricetidae.